AGCACAAGGUGUCGACUUGCCCGCAACGAGACGGCAAAUGCUUCAAGUGUGGCCAACCGGGACAUCUUAUCCGGGAGUGCCCGACGUGGACGUCGUCUGCGCCGACGGCGGCAUUAGCACCGUCUACCCCGAGACAGCUUGCGGGGUUACCACUAGCGAUGUCGGCUGGGCGCGCGUCAUCACCGCGUCAGCCGGAGGGAUCGAGAGCGCCUAGCGGCCGAGUCUUUGCCGCUCAGGUGGAGGAGCAACAACCUGCAGCACCCGACGACGUCGUGGCAGGUAUAAUUGUGAUUAAAGGCACUAGAGC
This 307-nucleotide long non-coding RNA is filed under the name Ananas comosus (pineapple). RNAcentral's name for it is "long non-coding RNA (ACOM_LNC041567)". Lineage: Eukaryota; Viridiplantae; Streptophyta; Magnoliopsida; Poales; Bromeliaceae. The record is from RNAcentral.